This 141-nucleotide ribosomal RNA is filed under the name Fusarium solani. RNAcentral's name for it is "partial 28S ribosomal RNA". Lineage: Eukaryota; Fungi; Ascomycota; Sordariomycetes; Hypocreales; Nectriaceae. The record is from RNAcentral.
GUUGACCUCCAAUCAGGUAGGAAUACCCGCUGAACUUAAGCAUAUCAUAAACCCGGAGGAAAAUAGUCCAUUCACUUGGACAAUUACAUUUAUGAUCUGAUCUCAAAUCAGGUAGGACUACCCGCUGAACUUAAGCAUAUC